Molecule: long non-coding RNA, 461 nt
Organism: Mesocricetus auratus (golden hamster)
Lineage: Eukaryota; Metazoa; Chordata; Mammalia; Rodentia; Cricetidae
Exons: 3
Source: RefSeq, a predicted model, not a curated record
GCUUUUGGUGUCACGCUUGUUGCCCAGCAGCUUCAGCAUCUUCAUGGUCUUGAGCCUGCCUUUCUUCUUACCCUCAGACUCAGCCUCUCUUUGGAACUCUGCAGCAAAGAGCAAAGACCCUGGUACGUUACGCUCCUGAUCUACAGGUAGGGAACUGAAGCUUUGGAAAAUGAAGCCUUUGGCCAGCAAUGCCCAGAGAAGUCUCUAAGAUGGCUCACCUGGCUUGUUGAGAAGACACCGAAGCUCAAACUCCACAUCAGCCUGGCGCUGCUCCAGGUUCUGCUGCUUAACACUGAAGCGUGUGAUGAAGAGGAAUAAACACUUCUGCCAAGUGCCCACCACCCCACCCCACCCCCCACCCCCACCCCCGUGCUGUGUCAUGGCAGAGGGUGAAAGCUCCCAGCCCUCCCUCCACAGACCCCGGCAGGGAGCAGGCAGGGCAGCCCGGACUCACACAUAGA